RNAcentral lists this ribosomal RNA (497 nucleotides) under uncultured bacterium. RNAcentral's name for it is "partial 16S ribosomal RNA". It matches the Rfam family "Bacterial small subunit ribosomal RNA", at positions 28 to 507 of the family's 1533-position model. The record is from RNAcentral.
GAUGAACGCUGGCGGCGCGCCUAAUACAUGCAAGUCGAGCGAACAGACGAGGAGCUUGCUCCUCUGACGUUAGCGGAGGACGGGUGAGUAACACGUGGAUAACCUACCUAUAAGACUGGGAUAACUUCGGGAAACCGGAGCUAAUACCGGAUAAUAUAUUGAACCGCAUGGUUCAAUAGUGAAAGACGGUUUUGCUGUCACUUAUAGAUGGAUCCGCGCCGCAUUAGCUAGUUGGUAAGGUAACGGCUUACCAAGGCAACGAUGCGUAGCCGACCUGAGAGGGUGAUCGGCCACACUGGAACUGAGACACGGUCCAGACUCCUACGGGAGGCAGCAGUAGGGAAUCUUCCGCAAUGGGCGAAAGCUUGACGGAGCAACGCCGCGUGAGUGAUGAAGGUCUUCGGAUCGUAAAACUCUGUUAUUAGGGAAGAACAAAUGUGUAAGUAACUAUGCACGUCUUGACGGUACCUAAUCAGAAAGCCACGGCUAACUACGUG